Molecule: ribosomal RNA, 257 nt
Filed under: uncultured bacterium
Lineage: Bacteria
Description: partial 16S ribosomal RNA
Rfam family: Bacterial small subunit ribosomal RNA
Source: RNAcentral
UACGUAGGGCGCAAGCGUUGUCCGGAAUUAUUGGGCGUAAAGAGCUCGUAGGCGGUCUGUCGCGUCGGCUGUGGAAAACUUGGGGCUCAACCCCAAGCCUGCAGUCGAUACGGGCAGACUAGAGGUGCGGUAGGGGAGACUGGAAUUCCUGGUGUAGCGGUGAAAUGCGCAGAUAUCAGGAGGAACACCGGUGGCGAAGGCGGGUCUCUGGGCCGUAACUGGACGCUGGAGGAGCGAAAGCGUGGGGAGCGAACAGG